This 360-nucleotide unclassified non-coding RNA is filed under the name Zea mays. RNAcentral describes it as "misc RNA Zm00001eb355130". The record is from RNAcentral. Lineage: Eukaryota; Viridiplantae; Streptophyta; Magnoliopsida; Poales; Poaceae.
UUGUCGGAAGAAGACACGCCCAGAUCUUCGUGCGGAAGCAAAGGGGAGGAGGGAUCAGGGAAGACGGGCGGGCAGAGGCGGGCAAGCAGAAGGCGUCGCCAGCGGCGUGCGGGGGCAGCUGAGCUCCGCAGCAGCCCGCGACGCAAUCAUGUCGCGUGGCAGGCCGCGGGAGGCGGAUGGGGAGAUGUUCAAGGCCAGCGGUUUUUGGCUGCAGCUAGAGGCCUGACUGACAGGGGUGCAGUGCAGGAGCUUUGGAUGUUCGGAGGCUGCAACAGCUGGGACUGGGUCUGGGACUGGGAGGGAGAUAGAAUGCGAGAGCGAGCUGCAGGGAAGCUUGUGUCCGUUACCUUGGUGGGAUAG